Molecule: microRNA, 24 nt
Filed under: Triops cancriformis
Lineage: Eukaryota; Metazoa; Arthropoda; Branchiopoda; Notostraca; Triopsidae
Description: tcf-miR-10336
Source: miRBase by way of RNAcentral
AACCAGGCUGAGGUCUUGACGAGA